This 737-nucleotide long non-coding RNA is filed under the name Zea mays. Its description in RNAcentral is "long non-coding RNA (ZMAY_LNC005663)". The record is from RNAcentral. Lineage: Eukaryota; Viridiplantae; Streptophyta; Magnoliopsida; Poales; Poaceae.
AGGUGAAAUCAGAUACCAGAUCCUCACUUAGCCAUAGGUUAUUGUUCAUUCCAGACCUGUCUGAGCUAGUUGUUUCAGAGGUGGUUACCAUCUAUUUACUUUGUCGUGUUUUCUUCCCUAAAUGCCAUGUGUCCGUAUAAGAAUGUCAAUAUAGUUUGUGAUACCUCUUGGGUGCUCUCAAGGAUGGUAAAAGAGCUCAUACCUAGGCACCAGAUAUUGCUUACUCACUGCUGCAUGCCUAUCACAAUCCCUCAUGUUGCUGUAAACGCUGUUGAGUAAAACAUUUGUUAUUGCCCUCCAGUGCAAUCCAAUCAGGUGGGGGGAGUCUCGUCCCCCACCGUGACCUGUCAAAGAAAAAAAAGAGAAAGCCUCUAUGAUUAGCACAAUUCACUCUUGUAAUUUAUGUGUGAUGAUUUUUCUACCUGUUUUUUUUUCAUACUUACGCAUGCUAGUUCUGCAGGUCCGAGUCCUUGAAAAGCGACUGGAUGAUCAAUUCGUCAUGCGCCGUGCUCUUGAGAAAGCACUAGGUUACAAGCCUUGUGCUGUUCAUGCAUCAAGUGUGAACUGCAUUCCAGAGGUGAAAGUUCAUAUGGACGAGCUAAAAAAAAUAGGGGGGGGGGGGGGGAGGGGGGGUACCAUGAUAUUGUGGUGUUUCACUUCCUCAUCAUGAUAUGUUUUCUUCCGAAGACAAGAGUUUUCACUUAACACAUAGCCUCUUUCUUUCUUUCUUCCAUGCC